GAAUGUCAUGUAUGUGGCUUCCACAUGUCUCUCCCCACAACUCCAAGCUUAAUUUGGCUGCUCUGGCUAAGCAGGUUUCUGUUUCCUCUAUCACUGGCCACACAUCUCCUUUCUGCAUCUGUUACUUUGUCAAAGGGGAUGUUCUUCCCAAACAUUGGGGAACUUUUUUCUGCAAACUAUAUAUGAGCAGUUAGGCUGCCUUUGUAGGACCUCCACACAUGUUCUCAGGCACAUUUGUGGGAGAACAUGGAGAGAAUUGCCAGAGAGAAGAAAGCCUUCAUAGCUCAUAGAGUUAU
This 296-nucleotide small RNA is filed under the name Ursus americanus (American black bear). RNAcentral describes it as "7SK RNA (ENSUAMG00000011194.1)". It matches the Rfam family "7SK RNA". From Rfam's summary of the family: 7SK was discovered as an abundant small nuclear RNA in the mid-70s but a possible function has only recently been suggested. Two independent studies have found that 7SK RNA binds the CDK9/cyclin T complex (known as elongation factor P-TEFb). The record is from Rfam by way of RNAcentral. Lineage: Eukaryota; Metazoa; Chordata; Mammalia; Carnivora; Ursidae.